GUUUCUGGUUGAUAUCGACAGGCUUGAACAAGGUUGUGCUCAAGUUGUCAACAAUGUUGUCACAGUAUUGUUACAACUGCACAACGCUGCAACAACAUUGUUAACAACUUGUUCUUAGGCUGCAGCACAACCUUGUUCAAGCCUGUCGAUAUCAACCUGGAAC
Molecule: non-coding RNA, 163 nt
Organism: Paramuricea clavata
Lineage: Eukaryota; Metazoa; Cnidaria; Anthozoa; Malacalcyonacea; Plexauridae
Source: the annotation of a GenBank genome assembly